CCUACGGGUGGCUGCAGUGGGGAAUAUUGCGCAAUGGGCGAAAGCCUGACGCAGCGACGCCGCGUGAGGGAUGAAGGUCUUCUGAUCGUAAACCUCUUUCAGCAGGGAAGAACGGUCACUGUGCUAAUCAGCAGUGAAUUGACGGUACCUGCAAAGGAAGCACCGGCUAACUCCGUGCCAGCAGCCGCGGGAAUACGGAGGGUGCGAGCGUUAAUCGGCAUUACUGGGCGUAAAGGGCUCGUCGGCGGGAUGUCAAGGCAAGUGGGAAAUCCCCGCGCUCAACGGGGGAACUGCCUUUGAAACUGGCAAACUGGAGUGUGUGAGAGGAUAGUGGAAUUCCAGGUGUAGGAGUGAAAUCCGUAGAUAUCUGGCGGAACAUCAGUGGCGAAGGCGACUAUCUGGCACAUAACUGACGCUGAGGAGCGAAAGCGUGGGUAGCAAACAGGAUUAGAUACCCCAGUAGUC
Molecule: ribosomal RNA, 465 nt
Filed under: uncultured bacterium
Lineage: Bacteria
Description: partial 16S ribosomal RNA
Rfam family: Bacterial small subunit ribosomal RNA
Source: RNAcentral